GGUGACUGCGUACCUUUUGUAUAAUGGGUCAGCGACUUAUAUUCUGUAGCAAGGUUAACCGUAUAGGGGAGCCGGAGGGAAACCGAGUCUUAAUUGGGCGUUAAGUUGCAGGGUAUAGACCCGAAACCCGGUGAUCUAGCCAUGGGCAGGUUGAAGGUUGGGUAACACUAACUGGAGGACCGAACCGACUAAUGUUGAAAAAUUAGCGGAUGACCUGUGGCUGGGGGUGAAAGGCCAAUCAAACCGGGAGAUAGCUGGUUCUCCCCGAAAGCUAUUUAGGUAGCGCCUCGUGAAUUCAUCUCCGGGGGUAGAGCACUGUUUCGGCUAGGGGGUCAUCCCGACUUACCAACCCGAUGCAAACUGCGAAUACCGGAGAAUGUUAUCACGGGAGACACACGGCGGGUGCUAACGUCCGUCGUGAAGAGGGAAACAACCCAGACCGCCAGCUAAGGUCCCAAAGUCAUGGUUAAGUGGGAAACGAUGUGGGAAGGCCCAGACAGCCAGGAUGUUGGCUUAGAAGCAGCCAUCAUUUAAAGAAAGCGUAAUAGCUCACUGGUCGAGUCGGCCUGCGCGGAAGAUGUAACGGGGCUAAACCAUGCACCGAAGCUGCGGCAGCGACGCUUAUGCGUUGUUGGGUAGGGGAGCGUUCUGUAAGCCUGUGAAGGUGGCCUGUGAGGGUUGCUGGAGGUAUCAGAAGUGCGAAUGCUGACAUAAGUAACGAUAAAGCGGGUGAAAAGCCCGCUCGCCGGAAGACCAAGGGUUCCUGUCCAACGUUAAUCGGGGCAGGGUGAGUCGACCCCUAAGGCGAGGCCGAAAGGCGUAGUCGAUGGGAAACGGGUUAAUAUUCCCGUACUUGGUGUUACUGCGAAGGGGGGACGGAGAAGGCUAUGUUGGCCGGGCGACGGUUGUCCCGGUUUAAGCGUGUAGGUGUGUGUUCCAGGUAAAUCCGGUUCACUUUAACACUGAGGCGUGACGACGAGGCACUACGGUGCUGAAGCAACAAAUGCCCUGCUUCCAGGAAAAGCCUCUAAGCAUCAGGUAACAUCAAAUCGUACCCCAAACCGACACAGGUGGUCAGGUAGAGAAUACCAAGGCGCUUGAGAGAACUCGGGUGAAGGAACUAGGCAAAAUGGUGCCGUAACUUCGGGAGAAGGCACGCUGACACGUAGGUGAAGUGAUUUACUCACGGAGCUGAAGUCAGUCGAAGAUACCAGCUGGCUGCAACUGUUUAUUAAAAACACAGCACUGUGCAAACACGAAAGUGGACGUAUACGGUGUGACGCCUGCCCGGUGCCGGAAGGUUAAUUGAUGGGGUCAGCGCAAGCGAAGCUCCUGAUCGAAGCCCCGGUAAACGGCGGCCGUAACUAUAACGGUCCUAAGGUAGCGAAAUUCCUUGUCGGGUAAGUUCCGACCUGCACGAAUGGCGUAAUGAUGGCCAGGCUGUCUCCACCCGAGACUCAGUGAAAUUGAACUCGCUGUGAAGAUGCAGUGUACCCGCGGCAAGACGGAAAGACCCCGUGAACCUUUACUAUAGCUUGACACUGAACAUUGAGCCUUGAUGUGUAGGAUAGGUGGGAGGCUUUGAAGCGUGGACGCCAGUCUGCGUGGAGCCGACCUUGAAAUACCACCCUUUAAUGUUUGAUGUUCUAACGUGGACCCGUGAUCCGGGUUGCGGACAGUGUCUGGUGGGUAGUUUGACUGGGGCGGUCUCCUCCUAAAGAGUAACGGAGGAGCACGAAGGUUGGCUAAUCCUGGUCGGACAUCAGGAGGUUAGUGCAAUGGCAUAAGCCAGCUUGACUGCGAGCGUGACGGCGCGAGCAGGUGCGAAAGCAGGUCAUAGUGAUCCGGUGGUUCUGAAUGGAAGGGCCAUCGCUCAACGGAUAAAAGGUACUCCGGGGAUAACAGGCUGAUACCGCCCAAGAGUUCAUAUCGACGGCGGUGUUUGGCACCUCGAUGUCGGCUCAUCACAUCCUGGGGCUGAAGUAGGUCCCAAGGGUAUGGCUGUUCGCCAUUUAAAGUGGUACGCGAGCUGGGUUUAGAACGUCGUGAGACAGUUCGGUCCCUAUCUGCCGUGGGCGCUGGAGAACUGAGGGGGGCUGCUCCUAGUACGAGAGGACCGGAGUGGACGCAUCACUGGUGUUCGGGUUGUCAUGCCAAUGGCACUGCCCGGUAGCUAAAUGCGGAAGAGAUAAGUGCUGAAAGCAUCUAAGCACGAAACUUGCCCCGAGAUGAGUUCU
This 2237-nucleotide ribosomal RNA is filed under the name Salmonella enterica. RNAcentral describes it as "bacterial LSU rRNA". It matches the Rfam family "Bacterial large subunit ribosomal RNA", at positions 592 to 2812 of the family's 2925-position model. The record is from RNAcentral. Lineage: Bacteria; Pseudomonadati; Pseudomonadota; Gammaproteobacteria; Enterobacterales; Enterobacteriaceae.